UUUAAAGAGAGUUUGAUCCUGGCUCAGGACGAACGCUGGCGGCGUGCCUAAUACAUGCAAGUCGAACGAACGGAGGAAGAGCUUGCUCUUCCAAAGUUAGUGGCGGACGGGUGAGUAACACGUGGGCAACCUGCCUGUAAGUUGGGGAUAACUCCGGGAAACCGGGGCUAAUACCGAAUGAUAAAGUGUGGCGCAUGCCAUGCUUUUGAAAGAUGGUUUCGGCUAUCGCUUACAGAUGGGCCCGCGGUGCAUUAGCUAGUUGGUAGGGUAAUGGCCUA
This 278-nucleotide ribosomal RNA is filed under the name Listeria monocytogenes. RNAcentral's name for it is "partial 16S ribosomal RNA". It matches the Rfam family "Bacterial small subunit ribosomal RNA", at positions 1 to 267 of the family's 1533-position model. The record is from RNAcentral. Lineage: Bacteria; Bacillati; Bacillota; Bacilli; Caryophanales; Listeriaceae.